RNAcentral lists this non-coding RNA (87 nucleotides) under Kushneria avicenniae. The record is from RNAcentral. Lineage: Bacteria; Pseudomonadati; Pseudomonadota; Gammaproteobacteria; Oceanospirillales; Halomonadaceae.
UGUUAUGGCGGCUGUGCAUGGGCAGACUUCGGUCUGGCCGGUUUCCUUUGUGGCCGGUUUCUCACCCCGUGCACAGUCGUCUCCAAG